RNAcentral lists this ribosomal RNA (376 nucleotides) under uncultured bacterium. RNAcentral describes it as "bacterial SSU rRNA". It matches the Rfam family "Bacterial small subunit ribosomal RNA", at positions 523 to 898 of the family's 1533-position model. The record is from RNAcentral.
AUACGUAGGGGGCGAGCGUUAUCCGGAAUUAUUGGGCGUAAAGCGCGCGCAGGCGGCCGGUUAAGUCAGGUGUGAAAGGCUGCGGCUCAACCGCAGAGCGGCACCUGAAACUGGUCGGCUUGAGUGCAGGAGAGGGGAGCGGAAUUCCCGGUGUAGCGGUGGAAUGCGUAGAGAUCGGGAGGAACACCAGUGGCGAAGGCGGCUCUCUGGCCUGUAACUGACGCUGAGGCGCGAAAGCGUGGGGAGCAAACAGGAUUAGAUACCCUGGUAGUCCACGCCGUAAACGAUGAGUGCUAGGUGUUGGGGGGCUACGCCCCUCAGUGCCGAAGGUAACCCAUUAAGCACUCCGCCUGGGGAGUACGGCCGCAAGGCUGAA